GUUUGUUCAAUGCAAAAGAACUUUCAUAAAAUUGAUCAUACUAGUAAAUAUCAAAAUGAAAUAGACUUCCUACUGCUUCACAAAUAAGAAAAUCCAAGCUAUAAAGUAAUAUAAAAUUCCAAAAGAUAACAAAAAUAACAAGAAUAUCAUUAUCAAAAUUUCUCAGUACUGAUACCCAUUGUCGAAAUUGCCAAGUAAUUGAAAAAUAUAUAUAUUUUUUCCUUGAUUGCAUCUGGCAUAUAAGUUGUUCAUAAAUGAAUUGCUUCACCUAUUUAUCCUAUACUUACGCAAGCUUUUCUUACUUAUGACGGCAUCUUUUAUGUUAAUUCACUUGCUGGUUUAAUGAUUCCAGCACUACUGAACUAAUAUGACUUCUUUCAUAAAAAAAUGAACUUACCCACAAAUUGAAAUAUAUAAGUAAAACCAAAACAGAAACUAAGACCAGAAACACCAGCUGGAAGAAGAAGAAGAAGAAGA
Molecule: unclassified non-coding RNA, 477 nt
Filed under: Hevea brasiliensis (rubber tree)
Lineage: Eukaryota; Viridiplantae; Streptophyta; Magnoliopsida; Malpighiales; Euphorbiaceae
Source: RNAcentral